RNAcentral lists this long non-coding RNA (2669 nucleotides) under Homo sapiens (human). RNAcentral describes it as "HSALNT0340439". The record is from RNAcentral. Lineage: Eukaryota; Metazoa; Chordata; Mammalia; Primates; Hominidae.
ACAUAGUAUUUUAAAACCCAAGAGAUUUUAUAUAAAAAAAUCAGUUUUCUUCAAAAAUUGCAAACCUGGCUACACUGGGGCUAGUGGUGUGCUGCAGCUAGCUUGUACUUGCUCAUUGAGCCAAUUAUUAGUAUCUCUUCUAAACAUGUGCAGUGACAAUCAUAGUAGAGGCUUGAAAUUAGCUAUGUGGGAGUGUUUACACCAUGAGAAUUGGCAAAUGCAACCUGUGACAGUUUGUUGUUGUUGUUUUUCUUGUUUUAAUGAGCCAGUUGUUAAACAUUUACCAGCACACCACUGCACUGGGAUCACAAUGUCACGUGGUAGCACAUGCUGGAGAGAGUAGUGACUCUCUCCUCAGACAGGAUGUGGGCUCUUUAGUCCAUAUCCAUCACCAUUUCCUAUUGUUUUUCGUCUGACUCAGUUCACUUAUUUUAAUUACCCGUCUGGCAUAGUUAAGCAUUUGACUUUGCAACUCCUGGUUUACGGUCAAAACACACAUUCAAAACACACUCUUAGAUGAUAACAUGGGGAAAAAAAUCAAGUCACUGUGCUUGUUUGAAAGUUUAAAAAAUAAAAGGCUUAAAUUGAACACUGUUGGACAAAUUGAAAUACCAUCUUUAGAAGCCUUUUUGUUCCUUUUCAAACCAUUGUUAUUCAAGCACAAAAGAAGACUGUAACAUACAUUUCAAGUCACAAAGUAAGAAGUCAGCAAAAAACAAAUUUUUUAAAAGAGAAGAUAAUUAUUUAAUCAUAUAUUUUUAAGAAACAAACUAUAAAACCUGGAACUUUUUAUUUCUAGUGAAAAAGCCAUCAUUGCUUCUCAAAAGCAGGUUUUCUUCAUUUGUCUAAAAACCUUAUACAGAUAUUUGACGGAACUCUUGAAAACCUGGACCCAAAAAAAAAAAAAAUUCCUUCACAAGAGAAACCUCUGAUUAAAUGAGUAUUUCAGUAAGAAUGUCUGAACAUGAAGCCAGACAUGAUAGUGGUCAGGAAAAUUCUCUUUCAAGUCAUCUUAAGUGGAUUCCUACACAAAUGACUGCAGUGUAUCCUGUUCUAAUAUAUAGGUCUGUGUUUCCCACGACAAUAAUGAUUGCACAUAUCAGUCUCUUCCCCUGGGGCAUGAACUUCAUAGUCCUACCCACUAAAAGAAAAUUAUUGUUCAAAAACCACUUCCAAGGUCCUAAGAACAAAUACAGAUGACAAAAUUGAGGAAAGAACAAAGACCAAUGGAAGUUCCUAAAACAGUUCCCAUCAAUGGGUUUUAUAUUUCUUGACACUGUCCUAACAGUAAUCACUUCCACCAUUAAAACUAUGCAAUAUGAGCAACUAUAAGAAGUCUCUAUCCCAAUGCACCACUUUAAAAAAUCUGUCUUCCUUCCUCUUCCCCUCACUAACCUCACUUUCAGCCUCAGGCCUACUUUAGCAUGGUGACUGAUCUUUUUUUUUUUUUUAAAUCAAGAUACUCAAAAAUAACAAGUAUUUGGAAUUCUAUCCUAGUCCCCAAAUUAUAAGGUCAACAUUACUUAGCCAUGCAUGGCUUGUAGCUAACUUCAAGAAAAAAAGGUUAAGGAAACACAAAGGAGGCAAGGAAGGGAGGGAGGAUGGUAAGGGAAGGAAGGGAAAGGAAAGGAAGGACAUGAACAUGUUUUGAGGUUACAUGAGACAAAAAAAAAGGCUAUGUUUAAAAAACAGAAGGAGGAAAACAAUAUCAUGUGUCUUCUUAGAUUCUUAAUAUAAAUUUUGGGCAGGGACAAAAUUCAAAUACCAUUGUUAUGAAUCAUCUUGAAAAAAAUUUCGUCUCUGAGUUUUGACAUCCUUCAUGUAUAUAGGACAUGCUUGAGAAUACAUUAGAAAGUUCAGGAAAUGAUGUAGUUUAGAGUCAAGAGCAGUUUGUGGAUAGAACCCAAAACAAAACAAGACCCAAAAAAAGAGAAUAACAGUUUUAUCUGUAGUGGGUAAUAUGUGCUGGCUGUACUAAUUCAUGUUGAGCUUUGUUUCAGUGUACUGAUUUUCACCAAUUUAAUGCUAAAGGUCUGGACGUCAGUUACCUCAAGAUCUCUUUUAGCGAAAGAGGUCAAUGUGCACUGGAGUACUUUUCCUCAAAAUGAUCAGAUUUGCAUCACAGCUCACUACCAAAGAGGUCUUUCCUGAACAUUCAUGUUAUCUCAGUUCUCUGCCUACUCUACGAAUCAGCCAGAAUCCAUAAGCUUCACAUGGAUGUUUACAAUAAGAAAUACGCCAUCAGCAUGUUUCAUUUAAUUUUGGUUGAAGUAUUUUAACAUGUACAUUACCCUAAUUGAAAUUAAAAAAAAAAAGUAGUAGCAAAGUAAGACUCUUACUUCAUAAUGGAAGACAUCAUAAUUGCAAGACUAUCAAAAAGUAAACGCUUUAGGUAAAAAUCAGGCUUUGCUGCAACCAAUGGGCUCCUAGGGCAGGACAUGCAUGGCUAAGGAAUGUAGUAAUAAGGUGAACAUGGACAGAAGAGGGACUGAAGGAAAGAGAAGAAAAAGGAGAAACUAAGGACAAGGGCUUCAGAUGAAGAGCUCCUAAACACUCCUAAAGACUACCAGUUACACAGCUAUAGGAAGAUAAGGACUGUGCCUGUCCUGUUGCCUGCUUAAUCUCCAGCGCCUACCACCAUUCCCACCGUACAGUAGGAAACAGAUGCG